RNAcentral lists this ribosomal RNA (1372 nucleotides) under uncultured bacterium. Its description in RNAcentral is "bacterial SSU rRNA". It matches the Rfam family "Bacterial small subunit ribosomal RNA", at positions 28 to 1381 of the family's 1533-position model. The record is from RNAcentral.
GAUGAACGCUGGCGGCGUGCCUAAUACAUGCAAGUCGAGCGAACGGACGAGAAGCUUGCUUCUCUGAUGUUAGCGGCGGACGGGUGAGUAACACGUGGAUAACCUACCUAUAAGACUGGGAUAACUUCGGGAAACCGGAGCUAAUACCGGAUAAUAUUUUGAACCGCAUGGUUCAAAAGUGAAAGACGGUCUUGCUGUCACUUAUAGAUGGAUCCGCGCUGCAUUAGCUAGUUGGUAAGGUAACGGCUUACCAAGGCAACGAUGCAUAGCCGACCUGAGAGGGUGAUCGGCCACACUGGAACUGAGACACGGUCCAGACUCCUACGGGAGGCAGCAGUAGGGAAUCUUCCGCAAUGGGCGAAAGCCUGACGGAGCAACGCCGCGUGAGUGAUGAAGGUCUUCGGAUCGUAAAACUCUGUUAUUAGGGAAGAACAUAUGUGUAAGUAACUGUGCACAUCUUGACGGUACCUAAUCAGAAAGCCACGGCUAACUACGUGCCAGCAGCCGCGGUAAUACGUAGGUGGCAAGCGUUAUCCGGAAUUAUUGGGCGUAAAGCGCGCGUAGGCGGUUUUUUAAGUCUGAUGUGAAAGCCCACGGCUCAACCGUGGAGGGUCAUUGGAAACUGGUAAACUUGAGUGCAGAAGAGGAAAGUGGAAUUCCAUGUGUAGCGGUGAAAUGCGCAGAGAUAUGGAGGAACACCAGUGGCGAAGGCGACUUUCUGGUCUGUAACUGACGCUGAUGUGCGAAAGCGUGGGGAUCAAACAGGAUUAGAUACCCUGGUAGUCCACGCCGUAAACGAUGAGUGCUAAGUGUUAGGGGGUUUCCGCCCCUUAGUGCUGCAGCUAACGCAUUAAGCACUCCGCCUGGGGAGUACGACCGCAAGGUUGAAACUCAAAGGAAUUGACGGGGACCCGCACAAGCGGUGGAGCAUGUGGUUUAAUUCGAAGCAACGCGAAGAACCUUACCAAAUCUUGACAUCCUUUGACAACUCUAGAGAUAGAGCUUUCCCCUUCGGGGGACAAAGUGACAGGUGGUGCAUGGUUGUCGUCAGCUCGUGUCGUGAGAUGUUGGGUUAAGUCCCGCAACGAGCGCAACCCUUAAGCUUAGUUGCCAUCAUUAAGUUGGGCACUCUAAGUUGACUGCCGGUGACAAACCAGAGGAAGGUGGGGAUGACGUCAAAUCAUCAUGCCCCUUAUGAUUUGGGCUACACACGUGCUACAAUGGACAAUACAAAGGGCAGCGAAACCGUGAGGUCAAGCAAAUCCCAUAAAGUUGUUCUCAGUUCGGAUUGUAGUCUGCAACUCGACUACAUGAAGCUGGAAUCGCUAGUAAUCGUAGAUCAGCAUGCUACGGUGAAUACGUUCCCGGGUCU